RNAcentral lists this ribosomal RNA (1351 nucleotides) under uncultured marine eukaryote. Its description in RNAcentral is "SSU rRNA". It matches the Rfam family "Eukaryotic small subunit ribosomal RNA", at positions 411 to 1778 of the family's 1831-position model. The record is from RNAcentral.
CCCUUUAAAGGAGGGAGCAGGCGCGCAAUUACCCAAUCCUGACUCAGGGAGGUAGUGACAAGAAAUAACAAUAAACCGGCUUAUGCCGGUUUAAUUGGAAUGAGUACAAUUUAAACAUCUUAACGAGGAACAAUUGGAGGGCAAGUCUGGUGCCAGCAGCCGCGGUAAUUCCAGCUCCAAUAGCGUAUACUAAAGUUGUUGCAGUUAAAAAGCUCGUAGUUGGAUUUCUGUGGGGACGGAGCGGCCGGCCGCACAUCGCGGUUCGAGCUAGCGCUUUCCCUACAUCCUGCCGCGAACCGUGCUACCAUUAAUUUGGUGGCGCCGGGGAUCGGCUCGAUUACUUUGAGAAAAAUAGAGUGUUCAAAGCAGGCCACAUGCCUUGAAUAAGUUAGCAUGGAAUAAUAACUAAGGACUUCGGUUCUAUUUUGUUGGUGUUCGGGACUGAAGUAAUGAUUGAUAGGGACAGUUGGGGCGGUCUGUAUUCCAAAGCGAGAGGUGAAAUUCUUAGACCUUCGGAAGACAAACAGCUGCGAAAGCGUUCCGCAAGGAUGUUCCCUUUGAUCAAGAACGAAAGUUGGGGGAUCGAAGACGAUCAGAUACCGUCGUAGUCUCAACUAUAAACUAUACCAGCUAGGGAUCGGCCAACGUUAUUUUAUACCGACUUGGUCGGCACCUUAUGAGAAAUCAAAGCAUCUGGGUUCCGGGGGGAGUAUGGUCGCAAGGCUGAAACUUAAAGGAAUUGACGGAAGGGCACCACCAGCCGUGGAGCCUGUGGCUUAAUUUGACUCAACACGGGAAAACUUACCAGGUCCAGACAUAGUAAGGAUUGACAGAUUGAUAGCUCUUUCUUGAUUCUGUGGGUGGUGGUGCAUGGCCGUUCUUAGUUGGUGGAGUGAUUUGUCUGGUUAAUUCCGUUAACGAACGAGACCCCAGCCUGCUAAAUAGCGCGCGUGAGCUUUGCUCGCGGCGAGCUUCUUAGAGGGACUCUGAUGCGCGAUAGCACAUGGAAGUUUGGGGCAAUAACAGGUCUGUGAUGCCCUUAGAUGUUCUGGGCCGCACACGGGCUACACUGGCGCCUGCAACGAGCAUAUCAGCUGGCCCGAGAGGGUCUUGGCUAAUCUUUUGAACCGGCGCCGUGCUUGGGAUUGACCUUUGCAAUUGUUGGUCAUGCAACGAGGAAUGCCUUGUAAACGCGAGUCAUCAGCUCGCAUUGAAUACGUCCCUGCCCUUUGUACACACCGCCCGUCGCUCCUACCGAUGAAUGUUCCGAUGAAAUUUUCGGAGAGCACCUGUGAACUUGGCUCUGCCUUGCGAACGGGAGGCUCAAAGUCACAUAAAUCUAACAUUAAAG